Molecule: long non-coding RNA, 463 nt
Filed under: Physcomitrium patens
Lineage: Eukaryota; Viridiplantae; Streptophyta; Bryopsida; Funariales; Funariaceae
Description: long non-coding RNA (PPAT_LNC013379)
Source: RNAcentral
GUUGGUAAUAGUAGGAUCUUAGUGGAACUAAUGGUUAAGAAUUCAAAAGGUCAUAACCUUUGAAAUCUGUUAGCCAACGGUCAUCUUUUGGUAGGAUAAAGAGGUUGAGAAGUGUGAGAGUCGUAAGACGGGGGGCCAGACUAUGAGAGUCGUAAGCCGAGAUAAGCUUGGUGCUACUUCUUUAUUUUCUUUGUUUUUAUUAUUUUCUUAUGAAGAAUUGUGAUUGAGAGAAGUAUUGUUGAAAUUGUGAUUAGAAUAUUGUGGAAUAUGACUUUGGACUGACCGUUUUGAAGAAAAUCUAUGACCUUGAGAAUUGAGAUUAUUAAAUUGUGUUGUAUUAAGUAAAGAUAUUAAAUUUUGUGUGAUGAAUUGAGAAAUUGAAUAUAACAAGUAAGCUGGAGAUCAGUAAUUAAAUAUAUAUAAACCACAAAGAGAGUAAGUGAGAGAUGAACUGAUAAGAAUA